RNAcentral lists this ribosomal RNA (715 nucleotides) under uncultured bacterium. RNAcentral's name for it is "bacterial SSU rRNA". It matches the Rfam family "Bacterial small subunit ribosomal RNA", at positions 745 to 1474 of the family's 1533-position model. The record is from RNAcentral.
GCUGAUGGACGAAAGCGUGGGUAGCGAACGGGAUUAGAUACCCCGGUAGUCCACGCCGUAAACGAUGGAUACUAGCUGUCGGGCCUUCGGGCUCGGCGGCCAAGCGAAAGUGAUAAGUAUCCCACCUGGGGAGUACGUUCGCAAGAAUGAAACUCAAAGGAAUUGACGGGGGCCCGCACAAGCGGUGGAGCAUGUGGUUUAAUUCGAUGAUACGCGAGGAACCUUACCAGGGCUUAAAUGCGGGCUGCAUGGGACAGAGACGUCCCUUUCUUCGGACCGCCCGCAAGGUGCUGCAUGGUUGUCGUCAGCUCGUGCCGUGAGGUGUCAGGUUAAGUCCUAUAACGAGCGCAACCCCUACCGUUAGUUGCCAGCAUGUAAAGAUGGGGACUCUAACGGGACUGCCGGUGCAAACCGUGAGGAAGGUGGGGACGACGUCAAAUCAUCACGGCCCUUACGUCCUGGGCCACACACGUGCUACAAUGGCCGGUACAGAGGGAAGCCACCCCGCAAGGGGGCGCGGAUCUACAAAGCCGGUCACAGUUCGGAUCGGGGUCUGCAACUCGACCCCGUGAAGCUGGAAUCGCUAGUAAUCGGAUAUCAGCCAUGAUCCGGUGAAUACGUUCCCGGGCCUUGUACACACCGCCCGUCAAGCCAUGGAAGCCGGGAGUGCCUGAAGUCCGUGACCGCAAGGAGCGGCCUAGGGCAAAAUCGGUAA